Molecule: long non-coding RNA, 408 nt
Organism: Helianthus annuus (common sunflower)
Lineage: Eukaryota; Viridiplantae; Streptophyta; Magnoliopsida; Asterales; Asteraceae
Exons: 3
Source: RefSeq, a predicted model, not a curated record
AACUAUAAGGACAAAUACACCAUUUCAAAUUGUUUCACCUUUUAGUUAAUCUACUACCUAUCCAAGAAAGAAAACUAAAUCUGAUGACUUUCAUAUACCUUAUAUAGUUUUGUUUUUUUCUUUCAACCCUCAUUAUUUAUAUCCACUCCCCCUUCCUCCUUUUUCACCAACUACAAUUCUCCUUCUUCCAUUUGAUCUUUGAAGCAACUUACUGAACUAAUGGAGCACGGUAACAUCACCUAUUUGAAGGAUUUGGAUUUGGCUCGCCGUGAUUACACUGUGAAGGUUCGUGUACUCCGUUUAUGGAAGCAACCCAUGUAUAACAAUCCAGAGCAGUUUUACUCAAUCGAAAUGAUCGUUGUUGAUGAAGAGGGAACCACCAUGCAAGCCAAUGUUCUCCGAAGAUGG